UGGGGACGGACCGUAGCGCGGCAACGCCGGGAGCGGGCGGAAAUGGGGCUCCUGUCCCGCGGCACGGCCGCGGCGGGGCUGGGGGCCGUGAGCGCCGUCGUCCGCCCGGGCCCACCCGUCGUUGUCCCCAACCCCAUCCCGACCCUGCCGCCCGAGGGGGCGGCCCCGGGGAGCAGCCGCGUCCCCAGCAUGGUACUCAAGGCCUUCUUCCCCACGUGCUGCGCCUCGGCGGACAGCGGCCUCCUGGUUGGACGGUGGGUCCCUGAGCAGAGCAGUGCCGUGGUCCUGGCCGUGGUGCACUUUCCCUUCAUCCCCAUCCAAGUCAAGGAGCUUCUGGCGCAGGUGCAGCAGGCCGGUCGGGUGGGCCUGGCCGUGCUGGGCACCUGGUGCCACCGCCGGCAGGAGCCGGAGGAGAGCCUGGGCCACUUCCUGGAGGGCCUGGGCGCGAUCUUCUCCCACGAGCCCUGGCUCCAGCUGUGCCGGGAGCCGGGCAGCAAGCUCUGGAGCUGUAAGGCCACCCGCUGGCAGGCACCCCCCGGCCCUGCCGCCCCCGGCGAGGACCAGAUCAUGCUCAUCUUCUACGACCAGCGCAAGGUGCUGCUGUCCCAGCUGCACCCUCCCGCCGUGCUGCUGGACCGCCAGGCCGGAGACGCCCCGGCCAGCGUGGGGGACCUGGCUGCCGUCUUCGACACGGUGGCACGCAGCGAGCCGCUCUUCCAAAGUGACCGGUUCGGUGAGGGCCCUGUGCGGCUGAGCCACUGGCAGUCGGAGGGCGUGGAGGCCAGCAUCCUCGUGGAGCUGGCCAAGUGGGCGGCGGGGCCCGUCUGCCUGCUGCUGGCCUCUUUGCUGUCACUCAUCUCAGCUGCCAGUGCCUGUCGGGUGUUCAGGCUGUGGCCGCUGUCUUUCAUCUGGAGCAAGCUCUCCACGUGCGAGCAGCUCAGACGCCGGCUGGAGCAGCUCACGCUCAUCUUCAGCACCCAGAAAGCCAGGAGCCCUGCCCAGCUGAUGAGGAAGGCCAACACACUUGUCUCUGUGCUGCUGGACGUGACCCUUGGCCUCCUGCUGCUGUCCUGGCUCCACAGGAAGGACCGCAUCGGGCAGCUGGCCGACGCCCUCAUCCCCGUGGCUGACCACGUGGCUGAGGAGCUCCAGGACCUGCUGCAGUGGCUGAUGGGCGCGCCCGCUGGGCUCAAGAUGAACCGGGCCCUUGACCAGGUGCUGGGCCGCUUCUUCCUGUAUCACAUCCACCUGUGGAUCAGCUACAUCCACCUCAUGGCCCCCUUCAUCGAGCACAUCCUGUGGCAUGUGGGCCUCUCGGCCUGCCUGGGCCUGACGGUGGCCCUGUCCAUCCUGUCGGACACCAUCGCGCUCCUCACCUUCCACAUCUACUGCUUCUACGUCUAUGGCGCCAGGCUGUACUGCCUGAAGAUCUGUGGCCUGUCCUCGCUCUGGCGCCUGUUCCGAGGGAAGAAGUGGAACGUGCUGCGCCAGCGGGUGGACUCCUGCUCCUAUGACCUAGACCAGCUGUUCAUCGGGACGCUGCUGUUCACCAUGCUCGUCUUCCUGCUGCCCACCACGGCCCUGUACUACCUGGUGUUCACACUGCUCCGGCUCCUGGUGGUCACCGUGCAGGGUCUGAUCCAUCUGCUUGCAGACCUCAUAAACUCCCUGCCGCUGUACUCGCUCGGCCUCCGGCUCUGCCGGCCCUACAGGCUCGCGGGUAGGUCUGGGCUGGCGGUGCGGGCGCAUACCCGUGGGCUCUGUAGAGGCAGCCACGGAGCUGCUCCCACCUGGAAGCAGAGGUGUGCCUGCUGGGCGCGGGGUGGGCAGAGGACGGAGGCCCCUGGUCCUGGGCGUCAGCUGGAGGGAGAGGCCCUCGGGCUCAGGGCCUUUCCUGUGACGAGAGCGUUUGUGCUGAGGUCUCUCGGCAAUAAGACACGUCCCAUGUGCGUGUGCGGAGCUGUGUGGGCCUGCGGGUCCCUCCGCCUGGAGGUGACCAGCCAGGGCUGCGUGUCAGGGCCUGCCUCGCCCCCGCCGACCCCUGGCUGCCCCGCCGCUGCGCGCGUGCUGCCACCUGCCCCAGACCGGCCAGAUGCCCCGCUGCAGGCCCAGGGAGACCUGACCCAACUGGUCAGAGUUGCGGGUUGGGCCAUCUGGUUCAGGGGUUUUGACCCUGUCAGGAGCUUGGGGCAUUCCUGGCCCAGCCCGUCCAGCAGCUGUUGGGACGGCCCCGAGGUGAGCGGCGUGCCCAGGAGGCCCCGAACUGGGGCCCCUUCGGUGGGACGCCGGUGCGCAUGGCGGCUGCUCCCGACAGUCUGGAGCCGCAAGACCUGAACGCGCGUGUUCCGUGGGCUCUGGGCCUCGAGUUUGCUGCUGCGGGUCCUCAUGCCCUCUUGCCGAGCCUCUUCCUCUGUGGACCCCAGGUGGCCCCGCCAGGGACCCCUCGGCAGUGCUGCCCGGGCUCCCUGGCCCCCAGCUAGCCCCCCACACCUACCUCAGCAGGCUGGCCCAGGCGGCCUCGGCCUGCCGCCCUCCGCUUUCCGCGGGGAAGGUCUUUUAACUUCACAUGAAAGGCCACAGACGCCGCCUCCUCGUUCUGCUGAGUUUGCCUUGGGCCUCCUCAUCAAUUGAUAAUCAGCCCUUGUUUCUCCUUCAAGAACCUUCCACCUUGGGGAUCCCCAGGCUUGGGAGCCUGGACUGCCGGCCAGGGGCGCGGUGGGCACACGGGCGAUGCCAGCCGGGGCCGCUCCACCCUGGGCACCUUGUCUGCACUGGGAAAAGCCACGUCCUACUUGGAGGGCCCGCAGCUGGCUCCCCGCCGCCCGCCAGAGCCUGGGCUUUUGCCUCUCAGUGUAGUUGUGCCGGAGGCUCAGACCAGGCCCCGGCCCCGCAGCCCCCAGCGCCGUGCAGAGCCGGAGGAGCAGCAGCCGAGGCCUCUGGGGCCGCCCUCCCUCUCAGCACCUGCUCUUCUCCUCCUUGCAGCCGGCGUGAAGUUCCGGGUCUUGGAGCGUGAGGCCGGCAGGCCUCUCCGCCUCCUGAUGCAGAUAAACCCCCUGCCCUACAGCCGCGUGCUGAACACCUACCGCCUUCCCAGCUGCGGCUGCCACCCCCAGCACUCCUGGGGCUCCCUGUGCCGCAAGCUGUUCUUCGGGGAGCUCAUCUACCCUUGGAGGCAGAGAGGGGACAAGCAGGACUGAGGGACCUUCGCCACGGCCCGUCCAGCAGUGCCUCCACCGGCCAGGGUGUCAGGGCGGCACAGGUUCCUGCUCUCGGCCCUCCCUGCCACCGGUCGUCUGGGGCCUCUGCAGGCCGGGGGCCCGGGCCCCACCCUUCACAUCUCCCCCGACUCCGAGGUCAUGGGAGUGAUUCAGGACGCGGGCGUGGCCCCCGGGCCAGCGGGCUAUGCUCCAGAAAUAGCGUGUUUGCCUCCACACACACCUGCUCAUCUGCUGUGAUGGCCCGUUCGUCAGCCCUGUGCCCCUGAGCCCCCCAGGCCUGCCUGGAAGCCCGUCCUGCGCCCACCCCCCGGUCUACACCCAGACUCCUGCCUCUGCCCACACGCCCGUUCCCAAUGGGGUGAGCUGGCCGGUCUCCCUGGCUGCUCCCCAGCGUCCGUCCUGCCAUGGGGCGGAGGGACCCUUCUCAGGGCGGGCUCGGCAGUCCUUGAGACUCGGGUGUUUUCUGCAGGACGCUCUUGGAUCCCCAGUGCCUUCCAGCAGCCUCAGUGGAGCAACACCCAGCCAGUCUGGGGGAUCCAGGCCACGGCUGACCCCCAGCCCAAACCAGCAGCCCCAGGGAGCUGGGCAGCCCUGCCCUUGGGCCCUGGUUUGCACUGGGCUUGCUUGAUGCUCCUGCAGACGGUACUUUGUAGGUGGAGCUGCCCGCAGCCUUUGGGUGUCCCUGUGUAAAGCCAGGCCACCUGGGGUACCUGGAACAGGCAGCAGACGGCCCUCCCUGGCCCCCGUUCUUGCUCUGUACCCCUGCAGGGACAGGUCCCUUGGCCCUAUCUUCCAUCUCACUCACUGGCUUCUCGCAGAGGCAGGCAGCUCCUGGGCAGACGCUUCUGCAGCCCCCAGGGAGGGCGUCCUAGCACUUAGGCUGCAGCUGCCUGCUGGCCGCAGGCGGAAGCUGAGUGUGAGUGGGGGCCCUGGAAUCCCUGGGGAGGAAGCCUGAAGGUGCGGUUGUGUCACGUAGGAUGUGUCAUCUUGGUGUUGGAGGCGUCCCUCAGCACUGUCCACUUCUGCCGCCCCCGCUUCUUAGCUGUGGGCCACAGUGGGGGGCAUCCUGGGGGCGUCCCCCAGCCCAGUGGCGGGCGGGCGGGUUUUGGCUCUGUCUUUUUCUGAUGGGACAAUAAAGCCUCCCACUUGUUCAGAGUGC
Molecule: non-coding RNA, 4377 nt
Organism: Sus scrofa (pig)
Lineage: Eukaryota; Metazoa; Chordata; Mammalia; Artiodactyla; Suidae
Source: RefSeq, a predicted model, not a curated record